AUUGAACGCUGGCGGCAUGCUUUACACAUGCAAGUCGAACGGCAGCGGGGGCUUCGGCCUGCCGGCGAGUGGCGAACGGGUGAGUAAUGCAUCGGAACGUGCCCAUGUCGUGGGGGAUAACGUAGCGAAAGCUACGCUAAUACCGCAUACGCCCUGAGGGGGAAAGCGGGGGAUUCUUCGGAACCUCGCGCGAUUGGAGCGGCCGAUGUCGGAUUAGCUAGUAGGUGAGGUAAAGGCUCACCUAGGCGACGAUCCGUAGCGGGUCUGAGAGGAUGAUCCGCCACACUGGGACUGAGACACGGCCCAGACUCCUACGGGAGGCAGCAGUGGGGAAUUUUGGACAAUGGGCGCAAGCCUGAUCCAGCCAUGCCGCGUGAGUGAAGAAGGCCUUCGGGUUGUAAAGCUCUUUCGGCCGGGAAGAAGCGAAAGUGACGGUACCUGCAGAAGAAGCACCGGCUAACUACGUG
Molecule: ribosomal RNA, 467 nt
Filed under: uncultured bacterium
Lineage: Bacteria
Description: bacterial SSU rRNA
Rfam family: Bacterial small subunit ribosomal RNA
Source: RNAcentral